GGGUCAGUAGGUUGGUCGUGCCACCGGUACGUACUGGUCUCACUGAUUCCUCCUUCCUGAAGAACCGUAAUGCCAUUAAUUCGGUGCUGCGGGGAAACAGGACUGUUACUUUGAAAAAAUUAGAGUGUUUAAAGCAAGCUAACGCUUGAAUACAUUAGCAUGGAAUAAUGAAAUAGGACGAUCGAUCCUAUUUUGUUGGUUUCUAGGAUUGACGUA
Molecule: ribosomal RNA, 216 nt
Filed under: Glomeromycotina sp.
Lineage: Eukaryota; Fungi; Glomeromycota
Description: partial small subunit ribosomal RNA
Rfam family: Eukaryotic small subunit ribosomal RNA (bases 92-216)
Source: RNAcentral